UACGUAGGUGGCAAGCGCUGUCCGGAUUUAUUGGGUUUAAAGGGUGCGUAGGCGGCUUUGUAAGUCAGUGGUGAAAUAUGGCAGCUUAACUGUCAGGGUGCCAUUGAUACUGCGGAGCUUGAGUACAGAUGAGGUAGGCGGAAUUGACGGUGUAGCGGUGAAAUGCUUAGAUAUCGUCAAGAACACCUAUAGCGAAGGCAGCUUACUAGGCUGUAACUGACGCUGAGGCACGAAAGUGUGGGGAUCAAACAGG
RNAcentral lists this ribosomal RNA (253 nucleotides) under uncultured bacterium. RNAcentral describes it as "partial 16S ribosomal RNA". It matches the Rfam family "Bacterial small subunit ribosomal RNA", at positions 524 to 776 of the family's 1533-position model. The record is from RNAcentral.